Molecule: ribosomal RNA, 483 nt
Filed under: uncultured bacterium
Lineage: Bacteria
Description: partial 16S ribosomal RNA
Rfam family: Bacterial small subunit ribosomal RNA
Source: RNAcentral
AUUGAACGCUGGCGGCAGGCCUAACACAUGCAAGUCGAGCGGAUGAAGGGAGCUUGCUCCUGGAUUCAGCGGCGGACGGGUGAGUAAUGCCUAGGAAUCUGCCUGGUAGUGGGGGAUAACGUCCGGAAACGGGCGCUAAUACCGCAUACGUCCUGAGGGAGAAAGUGGGGGAUCUUCGGACCUCACGCUAUCAGAUGAGCCUAGGUCGGAUUAGCUAGUUGGUGGGGUAAAGGCCUACCAAGGCGACGAUCCGUAACUGGUCCGAGAGGAUGAUCAGUCACACUGGAACUGAGACACGGUCCAGACUCCUACGGGAGGCAGCAGUGGGGAAUAUUGGACAGUGGGCGAAAGCCUGAUCCAGCCAUGCCGCGUGUGUGAAGAAGGUCUUCGGAUUGUAAAGCACUUUAAGUUGGGAGGAAGGGCAGUAAGUUAAUACCUUGCUGUUUGACGUUACCAACAGAAUAAGCACCGGCUAACUUCGUG